Araneus ventricosus is the source of this 77-nucleotide non-coding RNA. The record is from the annotation of a GenBank genome assembly. Lineage: Eukaryota; Metazoa; Arthropoda; Arachnida; Araneae; Araneidae.
UGCGUCGGCCCGGAGUCGAAUCCGGGUCAACUGUUUGGCAAACAGCUAUUCCGUUCUGACCUUUGAACUACCGACGC